RNAcentral lists this ribosomal RNA (253 nucleotides) under uncultured bacterium. Its description in RNAcentral is "partial 16S ribosomal RNA". It matches the Rfam family "Bacterial small subunit ribosomal RNA", at positions 524 to 776 of the family's 1533-position model. The record is from RNAcentral.
UACGGGGGGGGCAAGCGUUGUUCGGAAUUACUGGGCGUAAAGGGCUCGUAGGCGGCCAACUAAGUCGGAUGUGAAAUCCCCAGGCUUAACCUGGGAACUGCAUCCGAUACUGGAUGGCUUGAAUCCGGGAGAGGGAUGCGGAAUUCCAGGUGUAGCGGUGAAAUGCGUAGAUAUCUGGAGGAAUACCGGUGGCGAAGGCGGCAUCCUGGACCGACAUUGACGCUGAGGAGCGAAAGCCAGGGGAGCAAACGGG